This 360-nucleotide ribosomal RNA is filed under the name uncultured bacterium. RNAcentral describes it as "bacterial SSU rRNA". It matches the Rfam family "Bacterial small subunit ribosomal RNA", at positions 8 to 353 of the family's 1533-position model. The record is from RNAcentral.
AGAGUUUGAUCCUGGCUCAGGAUGAACGCUAGCUACAGGCUUAACACAUGCAAGUCGAGGGGAAACGAUAUUGGAAGCUUGCUUCCGAUAGGCGUCGACCGGCGUACGGGUGAGUAACGCGUAUCCAACCUGCCCACCACUUGGGGAUAACCUUGCGAAAGUAAGACUAAUACCCAAUGACGUCUCUAGAAGACAUCUGAAAGAGAUUAAAGAUUUAUCGGUGAUGGAUGGGGAGUGCGUCUGAUUAGCUUGUUGGCGGGGUAACGGGCCCACCAAGGCGACGAUCAGUAGGGGUUCGUGAGAGGAAGGCCCCUCCACAUUGGAACUGAGACACGGUCCAAACUCCUACGGGAGGCAGCA